RNAcentral lists this ribosomal RNA (427 nucleotides) under uncultured bacterium. Its description in RNAcentral is "partial 16S ribosomal RNA". It matches the Rfam family "Bacterial small subunit ribosomal RNA", at positions 355 to 774 of the family's 1533-position model. The record is from RNAcentral.
UGGGGAAUAUUGCACAAUGGGCGCAAGCCUGAUGCAGCCAUGCCGCGUGUAUGAAGAAGGCCUUCGGGUUGUAAAGUACUUUCAGCGGGGAUGAAGGGAGUAAAGUUAAUACCUUUGCUCAUUGACGUUACCCGCAGAAGAAGCACCGGCUAACUCCGUGCCAGCAGCCGCGGUAAUACGGAGGGUGCAAGCGUUAAUCGGAAUUUCUGGGCGUAAAGCGCACGCAGGCGGUUUGUUAAGUCAGAUGUGAAAUCCCCGGGCUCAACCUGGGAACUGCAUCUGAUACUGGCAAGCUUGAGUCUCGUAGAGGGGGGUAGAAUUCCAGGUGUAGCGGUGAAAUGCGUAGAGAUCUGGAGGAAUACCGGUGGCGAAGGCGGCCCCCUGGACGAAGACUGACGCUCAGGUGCGAAAGCGUGGGGAGCAAACA